This is a long non-coding RNA of Sciurus carolinensis (gray squirrel), 4407 nucleotides long. RefSeq lists it as uncharacterized. NCBI's taxonomy places the organism in Eukaryota, Metazoa, Chordata, Mammalia, Rodentia, Sciuridae. The transcript has 3 exons. The record is from RefSeq and is a predicted model, not a curated record.
CCCAUCCAGAACCAGAGCUCCUCUCUGGCUCUCUGUCUGCUGGUGGACUUGAAGGCUGAGAAGCACUGAAAAGUGAUGAGCUCUGAUUAGAGUCAUCAGAUGAAAUACAGGACACCAAAUUAAAUAUGAAUUUCUGAUUGAAAAUGAAUAAUUUAAAAAAUAGUGAAUGUGGCUGGGUGGGAGUCAGGACCCAGUACCCAAGAAUACAGGGUUGGCUCAGGAUGUGCAGCUUUCAGCUGAAAUGAUCAACAUUUUAUAGAAGACGGAAGAAAUAAAAAUGGAACUAUCAUAUUUUCAUGAUUUUACUGCACGCAGUACAAGUUACAAGGUAGCUGCAAAGAGGACGUGAGGUGAAUAUUAAAAGCCCCAGGCUGGAGCACUUGCCUCCCUCAACCCCAGUCCGGAGCCACGAAACUUCAAAGCGAAAGGAAGCCCGUGCAUGAGGGGGAGGAAGUGUAAAUUUUUCCUGCAGCCCCUCGGAGUUGUGAACAUUUGCAGAUCCCCCGCCCCAGCGCCCUGCAGGUGUCCGCGUUCCGGUCGCGCCCCGCCCCCGCCGCGCCCCGCCCCUCCUGCUCCCGCUUUCAAGUGGAUCAAGGCAGAGAAGAUGACAAGCCUUCUGACUGAUAGAUACGCGGAGACUUCGCUGGUGAUUUAUUGGCUUUCUGCACCUGACGAGAACCACUAGGCCUAUCUGAGGAGGGAAAUAUAUGGCCUUUCCUGACUCCAAGUGGCAGCCCCGGGGCGAGCAUGUGAUGUCAAGCUGGGCAGGGGAAAGCAGCACUGUGCACCGGCCUGUGUUCUGUAAGCGGGUCCAGGUCAUAAAAGUGUCAGCAAGCGAUAUAUUUCUUGUGGGGGAUCUUCUCUGGGCUCUCGCCAGCGCCUUCUCUCCUGUAACUGGCAGCCGAGCUGGCUGAGGGUGUCCCAGACGCCUAAGACCAGGCUGAUGUAGGCGGUGUUCCGCAGUCGCCAUCCUUUUUGCAGCGUCCAAGGCUGAAGGCUGGUACUGGGUGGGGGCUGGCGGCACCCACUGGGCAUUCUGAUUCGUAGGCGGGCCUGGAAUCCCUCACUUGAAGUCUGGUCCGGAGCACAGUGCAGGGCAAGGGUUGAUUUCUCACAGCGCAGGGCAGAGCCUGAAUGAACUAAUUCCCAUCAGAAAACUGGAUGGAAAUUCCAGACCUAUUACUUAUUAGACAGAGGAUUGUGGGUGAGCUACUUCAUCCUUCUGCAUCUGCUUUCUCCUCUAUAAAAUAGGGACGAUUAUAUGUGUGUGUGUGUGUGUGUGUGUGUGUGUGUGUGUGUGUGUAUACACAUACAUAUAUACACACACACUGAAUGAGAUUGUGCGAUGAUUAGUUUAUGAAGUAAAGUUCUACCCCUGCUCUGAAGGAUGAAAUUAUUAGGAAGUUGCUGGAAAGGGGAUGGGGCGAACCAAUGUGAUGGACCACAGAAAAUAGGCAGAGGAGAGUUGGAGAUGAUGCUAAGAACUCAUAGUCCACAUUCACUUUUUAUGCUAUGCAGUAGCAAGACACUUACAGAUGUCCUGUAGAAGAUGGUUGUGCUUGUCCAAGAAUAAAGCAAUGGUUGAUCCAACUUCCCUAUAAAAUCUUUCUUGCCAGUGUCUAUAUUUCUGGGCCACCCCAUCAUUGCCUAACCAUGUACUGUGUAUUGUCCUAUUCUCUAAUUGCCCCCAUCACCCAGUUUGCCACACUACAUGACAAAGAUGAACUUUGCUUUCUCUUAUGUCUAGAAAUAGAGACUCCAGAUCAUCUAGAAGGAUUUUUUCCCCCUAGGGAACAAAAAGUAAUUUAACUGUUUUUCUGGGUUAUGCAAAUAUGGAGGCCUACCAUAUCCUGAUAGAGAGAGAGAGAGAGAUGAGAACGUUCUGUUACCAGGGGAAGGUCACAAGUCCCUAAGGUCUCUGGCAUGCCAAGCCAAUCCCUGAGCAAGAGCUGCAUCUGUUUGCAGAAGGAGGCCAGGAAUUUCUGAGAGAGAAGAUGUGAAGGCCACCAACUUCUGUUUCUAAAGAUUUGAAAAUAGACCUGAGAGGGUCCACUUGGGUACCCCCAGUCAAGAUCCAGGGACAGAGGAAAAAUUUGGCCAUAGAAAUAAAAUUAAGAAGAAGCUUAUGGAAAACUUGGGUUCAUAAUCCUUGCUCAGUACAAAAGCCAAAAGAAUUGAGAGGGUGACUUGUGUUAAUGUGGCAUGGUGUGACUGUUGCUAUUUGAUUCUCCAAAACCACCUACUUUGACACAGUGAUUGCAUUUUGGGGAAAGAUGCUAAACAUGAGAAUCUGACCUAAAAUCCUUACCUGGGACAGGCUCAUGAAACAGCAUGCCAGGGUGUUCCUCCAGCCAAACCCAAGUAUUAGUUUCUAAACUGCACAGAAUCAGUGUCCAAAAACAUCAUCAAGGGAUAAGAAGAUGAAAGGUAAUAGUCACCCAAUCAAACCCUGGGUCUUAUAUUUUUAAACUUGGAGGUCCCAAUGUUCUCAGGCAAUUCAGUGUGAGGAUAAAGGUAAAAAAGAGGGCAGAGGAUAGGUGGAGAGGAUUUUGAAAAAUAAAAGAGAUUAAACUGCAUUUGUUCCCGAAACUUGUGAAAAAGAUUUAGAUUCUGAUGACUUCCACUGCUUUUUUUUUCUUAUCAAGAACUGAUUUUUGUCUUCAGUUAAAGCAUAGACUUAGUGCUGAACCCACAAUACUGAAGAAGUAUUUGUUGAUGAUUCUUUCCUAGAACUCAAUUCCACCAAGAUAUUUGUAAAUGGAUGAGCUUAAUAUUUUGUUUGCAAUAAUUUUUAAAGGUCUAACUUGAGACUAUACUAUAGUAUGAAGUGAGUAUUCAUAAGAUUAGCUCAUAGCUCUGCAUCGCCCAGGGAGGACAUGGAUCUGCUAUUCUUCUCCAUACUCAACCUCAUUAUACGCACACCUUAAGCAGAGCAGCACCAGCCUCCUGCUCCUCUAUGACAAGAGGGGACCUUCUCCAGAGAGUCCAGUCCUGUGUCUGGGCUCAUGAGUUGGAGAGAAGAACACAGGGUGAAUUUCAGCCUCUGGUUCCCUCUGCUGGGCUUCCUUGUGUAGAGAUUAGCUGAACAGUCUUCUGGGAGGACCAACCCUCAUGCUGCAGUCCUCUCCCUAGCCUCCCAAGAGGCUCAUUGUAGACAGCUGGCCUGCAGAGCUGUGGAAAUCCCAGCUCUGCCAUUUACAGUCUGUGUGAUUGGGGGUUCAACAGUUAAUUUUGCUGAGCUACUUUCCCUUUUUGUAAAACAGGCAUUGGCCUACUUCUCUCAUAGGAUUUUUAUGAGGGAUGAAGUGUUGCCCACUGAGUACCAGUGUAGAUGCUCUAGGCCUAUGCCCUCACAUAUCCAAUGACAGAAUUAGGAGAGAAUUUUGAUUCUUUGAGUUGGAAGGGUUUGGGGGGAUACCUGUGUCCAUCCUUGUCUUUAAGUGGGUAAGGGAUAAUUGCAUAGCAGGUAGUCAGGCUGUGACAACAGCAGAAUUUUUCUGUAGGUGCCCAAUAGGAGCCCUGGAGUCUACUGCUUCAGAUUCUCCUGUCUCAGCCCUCAUCACCACUUCUACCACCUUUCAAGCAGCAGUGACAAACCUCAUGUUAGUUCCCAAUGCUGCAUGCAGGUUGUCACUAGAUUGGCCCUGGGUAAAGACUAUGGUGCUGCACUAAGCUGCAGAGCAUUGCAGAUUGCCACUGUUCCUUCAUUUCAUUGCAGAUCCCGCUGUCAGUUUAAAAAUUUCCCCAGAAGAUGUAGACUUUCAUGAGUGUGUAAACACAGUGAUCCUCAUCUUUGUCCAUCCCAACCCUCAUGGAACACAGCAUGUGCACUCCAAGAUCACGAUCCAGGAAAAGUAUUAAGGCGCACUGAGACUCUCACUUAGCAACAUCCCAACAAGAAUGGAAAAAAGACCUAGGACUUGGAGAGGAGUAAGAGGAGCAUCUCAUUGUACGGUUUGAGAACACAGGUAUCUCGGGAGACCAGCCUAGGCGUAUCUUUAUGAGCCCGGUGACACUGAGCAUCCCAGGGCCAGCUAACCAUCCCAAUUUUCCAGAGGCAUAAAGCUUCUCCUAGCCCCAACAGCAAGGUCAAAGAAUAGGAUGUAUAUGGGCUCUGCAGUGUGGCUGACUUGAGGUAGUCCUAGAUGAUGCAAUCUUAUGCAAGGAACUCAAUGUCUCUGAGCUAUGUUCUUCAUCUAUAUACUACCCCAAAGUCCUGAAAAAUCCAUGUUUUUACCCAGAUGAUUAUAAAACUGAGUAUGUAUUGCUUCACUUUAAUAUUGUUGCCAAUGUAAUUAAUCCUAAAAUUUGUUUCAUUUGUGCAUGCUUUAUGGGUAUGCAUCUGUGGUAAAAAUAAAAUAAAUAAAUAAAUGUUCUUUUAAAUUUUAUAAUAAUGCAUGUAAAUGA